Molecule: non-coding RNA, 3335 nt
Organism: Anas platyrhynchos (mallard)
Lineage: Eukaryota; Metazoa; Chordata; Aves; Anseriformes; Anatidae
Source: RefSeq, a predicted model, not a curated record
UAGAUGUAUGCGGAAGUUAUCUUCAUGCAUCAUUUUUCUCCCCAUUAGCUCUAAAAAUAAGGGAGAUACAGGUGUUGUGGGUUCUGUUAAUGGUAUCACCUUAAAACUAGUGGAAAGAAUCCUUGCCAAUGGGAAAUCGGAGGUAUUGCAAGAGAAAAGUUUAGCAGCUGUAAGCCUAAUAACCAGAAGAAAGCACCUAAGCAGGCACUCAGCUGGCAAGCAAUCAGACAUCUCUGUGGGUGAUGAGAAAUGUUCAGCUUCGGCUGCAUCUGUUCUGCAGUGGACUGAAAUAUUCCAAAGGGACUGCAUGCUUACCUGUUGCAAUUAUCACUGGAGGAGAGAGGGAGGACAAAUGGAACUGAAUCUGGAGUAAAACCAAGGGAAAUUCUCACAUUAAAGAUUCACCGAUGAAUCUGCAGACUUUAUGCAAAUCCAGUGGGUAUUUUGUGCAAGUAUUAAUGAGUGUCACAUCCUGAUUACUGCAUACUUCCCCUUAUGUUUCCAGCUGUAACAAAUCCAACUGAAACCACUAAAAUUAACAACAGAAGUCCACAACAGUUUGUCAGAAAAAUGUAUGAAAAUUAUUUUUAACAUGUUUUACCCUAAUUAUUCUUUGAAACAUAUCAAGGUGUUAAUUUCAGAUAUCCUAUAUGCGUUCCCUAAUGGAUGACAAAUUUUAUGUUCGUUCCCUUAAAUCUGAUAAAAUUUACAUUGGUCCCCUUAAAUCCCUCUAAAGUACCAUCUCCUGGACUGAGGUGUUUUUUGCAUCUCAGUGCAGGCGAAGCCUUGUAAGCUAACUGUCCUGGCACUGCGUCUCCUAUUAGAAAUCUGCUUCUUUACAAACAGCUGUUGUGAGCAACCCUUUUUGCCAUGGCAUGUACUGGUCCUUUUGCUUUGCAUGAGCUGUGGCCUGUGACAUAUAAAUUGACUCCAGAUACAUCGAUUUAUUUGCUCUCAAAAAUAGCAAAGAAUGCAAAGUAAAAAAUAAUUCCUAAAAAGCCAUAAAAAAAAAAGUUAAUUAGUAUGUUUCUGUUUACUGAAGUAUUCUGUUCAAGGUUUUAUAUAUUAAAACAGAGCUAACUUGCCUGUCUCCCUGUGACCUUUUUGUUGCAUGGGCAGCCUCCUCUAGUCUGCCUCGCAGCCCUUAUGGGUUUUGAAUUUGUGAGGUGAUUUCAUGUUCCCUUUCCUCUCUUUUCACUUGGUCUUGCAAAGGCAUUCCAUCUUUAGAACUGGUCUAGGAAAGCCGUUGAAGGUAUUGUCAAUGUACAAAUAUGGGGAGAGAAAUGUUUUCAUGGCUCUGAUAUGAAGACAUCUAAAUAUGAUAGCAGACUGGGAGUUGCAUAUCUUUUGUUUAGCCUGUCUUUAUCUGCCAGCUUACUGUAUGCUGUGAAUAUAAUUCUGAAUGCCUGCAUAUAUGACAAGUCAUAACCAUAAUGAGCCUGUUUAUUUCAAGAUACGUAGCAUCAUUCAUUUGCACAUUAAAGGAAACUUUGCUGGAAGAAGACAAAUUUGAGCCUACAAAAGCUUUGUGAUGAUUGUAAUGCUAAUCUGUAUUCAAUCCUGUAUAUGAAGUGUCACAUCUCGAAUACUUUAAAAAAUUAAUUAGUCAACUGUGUUGUGGCACAGAUGAGCAGAAGCAAGUGGUUGCUUGCAUCCUCAAGCUGUGACAGUCCAAGUGCCAGCAGGGCUGGAAAGCAGAGCAGACCCAUGUUAAUGGGCUGGAGGUGCCACCCUCAUACCUGACUGCGCCCAUCAGGCUGUGGCAUUGGUGUGAUGGUGUUACGUUAAAUGAGAGCAGUUUGUUUAAAGUCUGGCGAGGAGCAAUCCUCACAUUCCUUUACAGCUGGUAUUUGUAAGGGUAUUCAACUCUUCAUAUGUAUUUUAGCAAGAAGUGGGUAUAUGCAUGCAUAUAAUGUUUGUGACAAAAAUAUCACUGGAACGUUCUGCAAUCUGGAGAGCAACUGUAAAUGUAAAUAGGUUGAGUAAAAGUAAGUACAACACUUUAUUUUGCCAUUAGCUAAGAAUGAGAUAUGCAUUUACACACUUUCUUAACAGAAUUGUAUCACCAUAUGCCCCACAGAAAAAAGGUUUUUGCUUUUUUUUUUUUUUCUCCUCUCUGUUUUGCCAGAAGUUUCCUAGAAAACUCUAAGUAACUUAAGUAACUUUUUUUUUUCUUUUUUUUUUCUUUUAAUUUUUUUUCCCCCUCCUCACUCCCUCAGGUAAUGGCCUGUAAGUAAGUACAGGCAACACAGCCUCAUACCUGUCUCAUGUAGGCCCAUGCUCACCAUAGUUUUGUCUGAAAGUCAAUGCAGAGCUAAAGGUCUGAAUUCAGGUCCCUCUGCCUACGUGUUCUUCCGGAUACAAAAGGCAGAGGCCUUGACUGCCCCGUGGUGACUCCCAGAUGUGGGUCUGGAGAAUGUCAAUUUUUGACGGGGCUUGAAAAAAAAAUAAAAUAUUAUCCUGGAUCUGAUGCAUCUGCAAGAACUUUACUUCAUUUUAGGACUUUGGAUAAGUAAUUAUUUUUUGAAUAUAUCCUGUUAAUCUGAAUGUGAAGUUAUCAAUAGUAUGAAUGCUUGCAGGAUGAGACCUCUGCAGAACAUUUUAAAUUCUGCAUAGUAGAGCAAAGCCUUGUGUUUUACAGUUGCAUUUUUUUGAUACUUCAGUUUUAAAAAUCCUUACCAUUGAUAUAUGGUCCCCAAAAGAUUAUGUUUAGCAACAGUCUAGCAUGAAUCCUCAGAUUUAGUUUUCCUUGACCUGUGCUUGCAUUGUUAGGGUUGUGACAUAUGAUUGAUGUUGUUUCUUGUUGGUCAUCUCCCUCACACUCGCACACUGUAAACGUUUAAAAAUAAAACUACAACAUGUUUAUCAUAAAUUGCGUGAUGAUUUCCAUCAUGCAUGAUUUCCAUCUGAAUAUGCUUCAUUAGGCUCACCUUUUGUAAUACAACUGGAUCAUUAGAUGGCAUGUAGAAAGAAAUCAUUUCUGCAGUAAUCUGUCAGGCAGGGAGAGCCCCCAUGUGUUUGAUGCAUAAAUGCAGAACAGAUUAAGCCACAUUUCACUAUCCAAUAUAAAAAAUAUCUUUGAAACUGUACAGGUGCAGGAUUGCCUUAUACUCAAGAUACUACUUCUGAAUUUUACCAGUCUUCAUUCUCCUUCAAUGGUUACAUUGCUUUUUAAUAGUUCCCAUACCACAGGAACUUAGUUCAAGAAAUGGAGAAUACACAAAGCACACUGAAGAUUUUCACCUAGAAGCCUUCUAGUGUGACACAAAUAUGUUUGGAUCAGUUUUUUAAAAAAUCAAACAAGCCACACCAUUCACUAGAAGACACUUAUGUUU